RNAcentral lists this microRNA (23 nucleotides) under Xenopus tropicalis (tropical clawed frog). RNAcentral's name for it is "Xtr-Mir-12479_5p (mature (guide))". The record is from RNAcentral. Lineage: Eukaryota; Metazoa; Chordata; Amphibia; Anura; Pipidae.
ACCACUAGAGGCUGCUGCACUGC